AACGGAAAAAUAAGAAUUACACACUUUCUGAACGCAGUGGCUCAUGGUGUCGAAAACAUUGUCAAUAGGCCACUGCCUCAGAAUGAGUGGUUCCUUCUUGAUAUUGCUGGAGAGGAUGAAGUGAUGUGAGAAGGUUGUCCGUAUCUCCAGAAGAGGUUGUAAAUAUUAGGUGGAUAGGAAAUAUUAUUAGGAUAGAUCUGUAAAUAUUAUAAUGUAUUAAUAUAUAAAUAAAUAAAUUGCAACUUGAAAAUUAUGAAGAA
Nilaparvata lugens (brown planthopper) is the source of this 260-nucleotide long non-coding RNA. RefSeq lists it as uncharacterized. The transcript is spliced from 2 exons. NCBI's taxonomy places the organism in Eukaryota, Metazoa, Arthropoda, Insecta, Hemiptera, Delphacidae. The record is from RefSeq and is a predicted model, not a curated record.